GUGGGGAAUCUUGCGCAAUGGGCGAAAGCCUGACGCAGCCAUGCCGCGUGAAUGAUGAAGGUCUUAGGAUUGUAAAAUUCUUUCACCGGGGACGAUAAUGACGGUACCCGGAGAAGAAGCCCCGGCUAACUUCGUGCCAGCAGCCGCGGUAAUACGAAGGGGGCUAGCGUUGCUCGGAAUUACUGGGCGUAAAGGGCGCGUAGGCGGACAGUUUAGUCAGAGGUGAAAGCCCAGGGCUCAACCUUGGAAUUGCCUUUGAUACUGGCUGUCUUGAGUACGGGAGAGGUGAGUGGAAUUCCGAGUGUAGAGGUGAAAUUCGUAGAUAUUCGGAGGAACACCAGUGGCGAAGGCGGCUCACUGGCUCGAUACUGACGCUGAGGUGCGAAAGCGUGGGGAGCAAAUGGGAUUAGAAACCCGUGUAGUCC
Molecule: ribosomal RNA, 425 nt
Filed under: uncultured bacterium
Lineage: Bacteria
Description: partial 16S ribosomal RNA
Rfam family: Bacterial small subunit ribosomal RNA
Source: RNAcentral